CUAUAUUUGUUGAAAACUUUGCAUCAUUGGACUGAUAAAUCAUUUAGUGAGUUGCUAAUGUUUUUGAAAGAUGUACUACCAGAAGGUGAGACACUGCCAAAAUCUUUUUACGAGACAAAAAAGAUAAUUAGUAACUUAGGUCUCAAGUAUGAUAAGAUUGAUGCAUGUCCCUUUGAUUGUAUGUUGUACUGGAAGGAGCACGCUAAUGAUGAAACAUGUCAUAAAUGUGGCAAGUCUAGGUGGAAGGAUUUUGACACUCAUUCCGAGGGCAGUACAAGUACAUCACCCCGAUCAAAAAAGACAAAAAUUCCAGCCAAAGUUAUAAGGUAUUUCCCUCUUAAGUCAAGACUUCAACGGUUGUUCAUGUCAAAUAAGACAGCUUCAGAUAUGCGAUGGCAUGAGGAAGAACGCAUAAAAGAUGGAAAAUUAAGACAUCCUGCUGACUCUCUAGCGUGGGAUCAUUUUGACAAAAAGUAUCCAAAGUUUGCUAGGGAUUCUAGAAAUGUUAGACUUGGCCUAGCAUCAGACGGUUUCAACCCAUUUAGGACUAUGAGUAUUGCACAUAGUACAUGGCCUGUUGUUCUUGCUGUAUACAACUUGCCAGGGUGGAUGUGCAUGAAACAACCUUUUUUCAUACUGUCCACCUUAAUCCCUGGUCCUAAGGGUCCUGGAAAUGAUAUUGAUGUAUAUUUGCAGCCCUUGAUAGAAGAAUUAAAGGAAUUGUGGGUUGAAGGGGUGGAUACCUAUGAUACGUCGAGAAAAGGGAUGUUUCGCAUGCAUGCAGCGUUAUUGUGGACUAUAAGUGACUUUCCUGCUUUUGCAAACUUAUCUGGUUGGAGUACAAAGGGGUAUUUGGCUUGUCCAGUUUGUCUUAAAGACACUUGUUCUUGUAGGUUAAAGCAUAGCAAAAAAAUUUGUUAUACAGGCCAUGGGCGUUUUGUUGAGCAAUGUCAUAGAUUCAGACGCAAUAAAGCAGCUUUUGAUGGAACAGAAGAGACUAGGUGUGCGCCACCUAUGUUAUCUGGAACAGAAGUGCUACAUGAACUAGAGGGCAUUAGUUUUCCAGCAUUUGGGAAAGGGGAUGAUGGCAAGGGGAAUGCUGCACAAGUGGAUGAAAUAGAUGAAAAUCCAAUGUUCAAUUGGAGGAAGAAGAGUAUAUUUUUUGAAUUGCCUUAUUGGGAGCACCUUCUUAUUCGUCAUAAUCUUGAUGUGAUGCAUAUUGAGAAGAAUAUAUGCGAUAAUGUACUUUAUACUUUGAUGAAUGAACCAGGUCGAGGAAAGGAUGGUUUAAAAUCAAGACUCGACUUGCAGGAGAUGCAAAUAAGGCAUUCACUUCACCCCCAGGAACGUGGUGCAAACAAAUAUUAUUUGCCUUCAGCAAGUUACACAUUUUCUCCACUUGAAAAGAAAAUCUUUUGUCGGGCGUUGAAAAAAGUUAAAGUUCCAGAUGGAUAUGCAGCUAACAUAUCACGUUAUGUGAAAUUGAAAGAGCGAAAAAUUAGCGGUUUAAAGAGCCAUGAUUCCCAUAUCCUAAUGCAACAACUAUUACCAGUAUCCAUUCGCAAGCUAUUGCCAAAGAAUGUAUGCUCUACACUUGUUGAGUUGAGUAACUUUUAUAAGGAAUUAUGUUCAAAAACUCUCAUACCGGCUGAGUUGGACAAUUUGCAAAAUAAGAUUGCUUUAACACUUUGUAAAUUGGAAAUGAUAUUCCCACCAUCUUUUUUUGAUGUGAUGGUCCACUUAUCAAUUCACUUAGCUCAGGAAGCAAAGAUCACAGGACCAGUGCAAUAUCGUUGGAUGUAUCCAUUUGAGAGGUUUAACUUUUUUGCACUAUUUUCGUAGGCUUUUUUCCCCACUAAAUAUUGCAAAUACUUCUCAUUUUUUUGUUGUAUCCUAUCAGGUAUCUUUUAACCUUAAAAAAUUAUGUGCGCAAUAGAAGUCGCCCAGAGGGUUCAAUUGCAGAAGGGUAUUUAGCUGAGGAAUGCUUAAAUUUUUGUUCAAGAUACCUAGCAAACGUGGAGACAAGGUUCAAUAGGCCCUCAAGGAAUGAUGACAACCUUGAUGAUGGAGAAGAGAUGUCUACUUUUGGCCCUAGAGGUCGUGCCUUAGGAAAACAGGAGAUGAUUGUUUUAGAUGAUGAUUGUCAAACACAAGCUCAUCGGUAUGUGUUAUUUAACUACGACGGAGCUACACAAUUCAUUGAAAAGCAUAAGAAAUUUCUUAAAAGAAGGCAACGGAAUUUAAAGCCACGACAAAUACAAUCAAUGUCUCAUCUAUCAUUUCAUAAGUGGUUUAAUGAAUGUCUGCGGAAUACGGAGGAUCCUAUCCCUAAUGAGAUUCGAUGGCUAGCUCCGGGUCCUAAUGUCGUUUCCAAACGAUUUAAGUCGUUCGUGAUUAAUGGGUUUAAGUUUAAUGUUAGAGAUCGUGAUAAUCAGAGGAAGACCCAAAAUAGUGGUGUUGUUUUAAAAGCACACACAUCAAGUUAUGCAAGAGCCAGUGAUCAAAAUCCUAUUGCAGGAAAUGUUCAUUACUUCGGAUUAUUGAUUGAUAUCAAUGAGUUGGACUACAAUGAAGAAAGGAAGGUUGUAUUGUUCAAGUGUGAUUGGUUUGAUGUACUCUCUAAGGGUAGAGGGAUAAAGGAGGAUGAUUUUGGGUUUACACUCGUUAAUUUUUCACGUGUAAUGCGAACUGACGAACCAUUCAUUUUAGUAUCUCAGGCUGAGCAAGUGUUUUAUGUUCAAGACCCAGUUGAUACAGAUUGGCAUGUUGUUAUAGGGACAAAACCUCGUGAUUUAUAUGAUAUUCCUGAAGAUGAUACUGAGACCUAUGGAUUUGAGCAACCAUUUAGUUCUCUACACUCGGAUGCAACUGAUGAUCACAUUCAUUGGGAUAGAGGUGAUGUGCCUGGAACAAUGGUUGAUAAAUCUUCAUCAGCAAACACGGAAAAAGAAGAUAUUCUGGAUGAAUAACAUACUUAGAAUGAUGAUAAUUUUUUCUUAAAUGUUGCAUUUUCUUAUUUUCAUCUUUUUUUUGGCUUCGUGCUUAUGGAAUAUUAUGAUUUUUUUUCCAUC
Molecule: RNA transcript, 3071 nt
Organism: Cornus florida
Lineage: Eukaryota; Viridiplantae; Streptophyta; Magnoliopsida; Cornales; Cornaceae
Exons: 3
Source: RefSeq, a predicted model, not a curated record